This is a long non-coding RNA of Orcinus orca (killer whale), 440 nucleotides long. RefSeq lists it as uncharacterized. NCBI's taxonomy places the organism in Eukaryota, Metazoa, Chordata, Mammalia, Artiodactyla, Delphinidae. The record is from RefSeq and is a predicted model, not a curated record. The transcript is spliced from 3 exons.
GAUGGGGCAGAAGAGGAUGUAGCCUCCCACCUCCUCCCCACCCUGGAGUUGGGGCCCCUCUGCCUGUGCACCCAGGAGGCCCAGCCCUCUGUUCUGUGGGCUUAGACAGAUGCAGAGAGGAAGUUCCUUGACUUUACCUCCCCCCACCCCGGUUUUCCUGCUGAGACUAAAACAUACAGGCAAAUAAAUACCAAGUUACAUGGGACGAAAGAUGAUUCCAGAAAUGAGUUUGUUUAGAAAAGAAACUUAAAUGACUCCAGAAAUCAGAUGUUUGACAAUAAGCAGACUUCGGCUUUGGAUUGAAGCAAGGUGCAAGUGCAGACAAGAACUGGAACUCCAGCUUAAGCUGUCCUGCACCCAUCCAUGCUACGGACCACCACAUUUUUCGAAGUUUCACUGUUAAGCAUGGGCCAGUGCAGAGAAAUCUGCACACCUAGAUG